GAUAGUGAACCAGUACCGUGAGGGAAAGGCGAAAAGAACCCCGGCGAGGGGAGUGAAAUAGAACCUGAAACCGUGUACGUACAAGCAGUGGGAGCCCCAUCACUCAAGUGCCUCGGCAAUUGAGUGACGGUGUAAAACCAUCACAAUAACAGCGCAGGAUUUGCCAACAAGAUUGGCUGAUUUUUUCAAGCCGCAGCGCAGUGGACAUCGAAGUCCAUGAG
Molecule: ribosomal RNA, 221 nt
Filed under: Providencia rettgeri
Lineage: Bacteria; Pseudomonadati; Pseudomonadota; Gammaproteobacteria; Enterobacterales; Morganellaceae
Description: partial 23S ribosomal RNA
Rfam family: Bacterial large subunit ribosomal RNA (bases 1-78)
Source: RNAcentral